GGUUUUUGAUUCCUUCAAUUGCUCCCCCACAUCGGAACCCAGUAGUUAUAUCACCCUUUCCUCGUCCCAACACCACCGCUAUUCAUCACAACGACUCCUCCAUCAAAGGAGCCUCACCCCUCUGCGAUUACAUCUCCUAUUUCUAUGAACCCUCAAUCGCCGACUACGUACUGCUACGACCAUCCUCACAACCUCAUCGUCCGUUGCUCUCGACACCACCAUAUCGAAAUCGUACGACUCUUUCCCGCCGGUCUAGAAGAUGUCUGGAAGUUCCAUUUCGACGAUUAUGUUGAUUUUCUGGCGUUAGUUACGGUGGAUACGGUUCAGGAUCUCAGCGCAAGGGGAGGGUUCUUAUUUGGGAUUCCGUUAAUGCUGAUACCGACGCUUGGGAAGAGGUGGAAAGAUCUGACGGCAUAAAUUAGCACGAUGACCAGCCCGGGUUCUCGUAUUACCUUCUUUAAUUACAAGCCUCUAAUUGGUUGGCUACAUUGUGCUGAGAUGGUUGCAUAUAAUCUGCAGUUCGCGUGAUUUGUAAUUUCAUGAAGGCUUCAAAGAAAAGUGUUAGGGGAGUCGCAACUAAGAAGAAAAUUGUAAAGAUUGUGAACGAACCCAAGGCCGAAGUAAUUUAGGAUAGAUGGAGCAUUGCCGAAAAGAUUUGGGAAGAAAUCUUCAAUUUCAUCAUCAAUUGACUCACACUUAUCGUUCAUCAUUGACCAUCGUAUACAGGUUUUCGUUCGAAGUUGAGAGGGUUUACUCCCUCAGUGACUUGAUGAAAGUAAGCUAGCUAGUAUUGUGUAAGAUAUCUUUUGUCCCAAUAAUAUAUUAUAUAUGUUUUAACCCGAUUGCUAAAUCUUGAAGAAUCAUAAUAAGGCACACUCUGUUGUUGGUGCUGAGAGUUACUCUGUUUCACAUUUAUUACCAUAAUGGAGUAGCAGCAAAGCAUAUAGAUCAUUAAAACGUUAUUGUGUAGUGGCAUUAAUCUAGCCAUCUUCAUGCUCCUUUGGAAGGGUACAUAUCAGCCACUCAAAGUGCCUUGAUCAAGACUGAAAGAUACUUGCUAGAGAUUUUGGGCAAGUACAAGAAUCAAUGCAUUCAGUUAUAUCAACGAACAAAAAAAGAGAUACUCGAUACUACACUAAAUGAAUUCUCAGAGGGUUAUUUUAGUUUUUCUAAGGAAAACCGCCACAAAUUUCUACUCAUUUGUGCUUGAUAGUGUGAUCUUAAUUGGACUAAAGUUCAGGGUUUUGAUGAAGCAGUUUGUUGGUCUUCAGAUCCCUAAUGAAUUGAAAGAAAUCGAAAAGGGCAUUAUAUAUCCUGGCGGUUUGAAGUUUUUGGUCCCUUUUUGUGCUUUAUUAUCAUGCUAUUAGGAGAGGGAAUGCUUUGGCAGAAGAUGGCAUGGGGGCUUUGAGGAAGAUUCAAGAACAAUGGCUGUUAGUGUGUUGUUGAUACUUCGAGAAUGCAUGGUUAUGUUCACCUUCGUAAGUAACAAUAAGCAUACCAUCAACGUCCAUGGCCCUCUCGACGUGUUUUCUUGCGGUACAACCUCUAACACUGCUACACUUGUAAUAACCUCUGGAUUCAUAAAACAACAAUGAAUAUAUCAGAAAUACUUAUUCUUUAAUUUUUAA
Long non-coding RNA from Helianthus annuus (common sunflower), 1628 nucleotides. RefSeq lists it as uncharacterized. NCBI's taxonomy places the organism in Eukaryota, Viridiplantae, Streptophyta, Magnoliopsida, Asterales, Asteraceae. The transcript is spliced from 13 exons. The record is from RefSeq and is a predicted model, not a curated record.